GGGGAUGUAGCUCAGUGGUAGAGUGCUUUCUUAAAAUGCAUGAGGCCCUAGGUUCAAUCCCUGGUACCA
RNAcentral lists this transfer RNA (69 nucleotides) under Ictidomys tridecemlineatus (thirteen-lined ground squirrel). Its description in RNAcentral is "Spermophilus tridecemlineatus (thirteen-lined ground squirrel) tRNA". It matches the Rfam family "tRNA". Rfam says of the family: Transfer RNA (tRNA) molecules are approximately 80 nucleotides in length. Their secondary structure includes four short double-helical elements and three loops (D, anti-codon, and T loops). Lineage: Eukaryota; Metazoa; Chordata; Mammalia; Rodentia; Sciuridae. The record is from Rfam by way of RNAcentral.